This 761-nucleotide small RNA is filed under the name Rattus norvegicus (Norway rat). RNAcentral's name for it is "uncharacterized LOC102550331". The record is from RNAcentral. Lineage: Eukaryota; Metazoa; Chordata; Mammalia; Rodentia; Muridae.
UCUGGGAAACAGCAUUCAGCUUAGCUAAACAGACACAGCACAAAGCAACCACAGCGUGUGCAGCAAAGGUCGAGCAGCAAAUGGAGAGAGACAAUACUUGUAGCUGACCGCAGCUCAAGUGGAGUUUCUACGUUGAGACAGACUGAAGGAGGAUAUGAUGGAACUAAAAGGGGCCAGUGAAACUCUCCUAGUAAUCUUAGCCAGCCAGCUUGGAGCCCGGGGGAGCUUUUACUAACUCUUCUCUGCCUGUUCCUGCCGAUUUUCUACCUCCAUGGACCGGGGCAGCUCCAGGUGUGUGCAGAAAUCGGAUGGAUCUUCUCCCAGACUGCUCCUGGGUUUCUGUGUCCUGAAAGCUCCAGGUAAUAUCUGGAAUAAGGAGACACCGAAUAGCAUCCACAUAUUGUUGAACCCAGCAAGUACACUGGCCUCCUUCAACAGCUGUCUCAACCCAAUACUCUGUGUCUUCCUUGGUCAAGAAUUUAGAGAGAAACUGAUACAUUCCCUGUCUGCCAGUCUGGAGAGGGCCCUGCGAGAAGACUCAGUCCUGAGCACUUGGCAAAAGCAGCAACUUUUCUUCAUGUCCUGCAGAUUCUGAACUAUAGAAAAUGGUAGCUGCAAGUCCAGUGGAAUGCUUCCUGUGCUACUGUAUUCUCACUCUCUCAUGCUACCUUGCAUUAUAUUUUUUAAUAUUAAUUUUAAAAUCAUUUUUGUCCUUCAGUUUGUAAAAAUUUAAUGAAAAUAAAAACUAGUACCAUACAUUA